GAUGAACGCUGGCGGCGUGCCUAAUACAUGCAAGUCGAGCGAACAGAUAAGGAGCUUGCUCCUUUGACGUUAGCGGCGGACGGGUGAGUAACACGUGGGUAACCUACCUAUAAGACUGGGAUAACUUCGGGAAACCGGAGCUAAUACCGGAUAAUAUUUCGAACCGCAUGGUUCGAUAGUGAAAGAUGGUUUUGCUAUCACUUAUAGAUGGACCCGCGCCGUAUUAGCUAGUUGGUAAGGUAACGGCUUACCAAGGCGACGAUACGUAGCCGACCUGAGAGGGUGAUCGGCCACACUGGAACUGAGACACGGUCCAGACUCCUACGGAAGGCAGCAGUAGGGAAUCUUCCGCAAUGAGCGAAAGCCUGACGGAGCAACGCCGCGUGAGUGAUGAAGGUCUUCGGAUCGUAAAACUCUGUUAUUAGGGAAGAACAUACGUGUAAGUAACUGUGCACGUCUUGACGGUACCUAAUCAGAAAGCCACGGCUAACUACGUG
This 497-nucleotide ribosomal RNA is filed under the name uncultured bacterium. RNAcentral's name for it is "partial 16S ribosomal RNA". It matches the Rfam family "Bacterial small subunit ribosomal RNA", at positions 28 to 507 of the family's 1533-position model. The record is from RNAcentral.